This 497-nucleotide ribosomal RNA is filed under the name uncultured bacterium. RNAcentral describes it as "partial 16S ribosomal RNA". It matches the Rfam family "Bacterial small subunit ribosomal RNA", at positions 28 to 507 of the family's 1533-position model. The record is from RNAcentral.
GAUGAACGCUGGCGGCGUGCCUAAUACAUGCAAGUCGAGCGAACAGAUGAGGAGCUUGCUCCUCUGACGUUAGCGGCGGACGGGUGAGUAACACGUGGAUAACCUACCUAUAAGACUGGGAUAACUACGGGAAACCGGAGCUAAUACCGGAUAAUAUAUUGAACCGCAUGGUUCAAUAGUGAAAGACGGUUUUGCUGUCACUUAUAGAUGGAUCCGCGCCGCAUUAGCUAGUUGGUAAGGUAACGGCUUACCAAGGCAACGAUGCGUAGCCGACCUGAGAGGGUGAUCGCCCACCCUGGAACUGAGACUCGGCCCAGACUCCUACGGUAGGCAGCAGUAGGGAAUCUUCCGCAAUGGGCGAAAGCCUGACGGAGCAACGCCGCGUGAGUGAUGAAGGUCUUCGGAUCGUAAAGCUCUGUUAUUAGUGAAGAACAAAUGUGUAAGUAACUAUGCACGUCUUGACGGUACCUAAUCAGAAAGCCACGGCUAACUACGUG